UGCUAAUGACUUUCUAGAGUAUCUAAUUGAGGUGCUUAUCAUAUUUAUUAUGUGGCUAACUUAUGCUGAUCAGAUUAUUUAUCUUUGUCACUAUUCAUUAAUUCAUAAUCAAUAUUGAUGAUUACUAAUCCCUUCCCAGUGGUAAAAAUAUAAAUAACGAUACCUGGAAUACUUCCCGGUUAAAAUGCUACAUCGGUAUUAAUCUGUGCGC
This 211-nucleotide long non-coding RNA is filed under the name Sorghum bicolor (sorghum). Its description in RNAcentral is "long non-coding RNA (SBIC_LNC006491)". The record is from RNAcentral. Lineage: Eukaryota; Viridiplantae; Streptophyta; Magnoliopsida; Poales; Poaceae.